This is a long non-coding RNA of Artibeus jamaicensis (Jamaican fruit-eating bat), 800 nucleotides long. RefSeq lists it as uncharacterized. The record is from RefSeq and is a predicted model, not a curated record. The transcript has 2 exons. NCBI's taxonomy places the organism in Eukaryota, Metazoa, Chordata, Mammalia, Chiroptera, Phyllostomidae.
ACAGUGAAAAAUGAAAAUCUGCAGCACAUUUCCAGAAGUCAAAACAAUGAAUUACUGAAGACGGAAUCUGAAAGGAGAAAAUAGAGCCAUAACCCCCAAAAAAGUUUAUUGAGGGAAAUUAUAAUAAUAGAGAAAUUGGAAGCGUGUGCUGGAAUUCAAAACAGAGCCUUUCCCACAGCCACCUCCCCCACUGCAUGAGCGCACACGCACAUGCACACACACACACACACAGACCUUCCACCCUCGACCCUACAACUUGUGUGGAUGCACCCACUGGGCCCCAAUGAUCCCAAGGCUUUAAGAGAAAUCCAGCAGCUCUAUCUCAGAAACAAAGAUUAGAAUCCCCGGGGGGGAAAAAUCCUCAUGAAUAUGAAAUAAAAGGACUGCCCACUCCAUUACUCAGGAAAUACACUAACAAAAUCUUCAGCUUCUAAAGGCGGAUGUUUUCCCCCUUGGAUCGAAUAUUCCCAGGGACUCCUGACCUGUCCAAUCUCCUGGUGGCCGCUGGAUUGAAUUGUUCCUUAUCUUUCAUCCAGAGACCAAGGGGGACCGGAAACUGGAAGGUCUUUGAAAUGGCUUCCUGAACACAGCGUGUUGCUAUGUCUUCUGUUUGCUCCCCAAGUGAAAAUGAAAAGCCAAGGAGAAGAAAUAAAGUUCAAUUCAACCAUAGGCCAUGGCCCCGUUGUGGUGUGCCAUCUACAGCCUGACAAGAAGGUCCUCACUGAGAACUCGCCAUGCUGACACCGUGACCUUGGAUUUCCAGCCUCUAGAACUGUGAGAAAUAAAUGUCUGCUGUUUGA